GGAGGGUGCAAGCGUUGUUCGGAAUUAUUGGGCGUAAAGCGGGUGUAGGCGGCUUGGCAAGUCAGAUGUGAAAUCCCUGGGCCCAACCCAGGAACUGCAUCUGAAACUGCCUCGCUAGAGUCCCGGAGAGGGUGGCGGAAUUCCCGGUGUAGAGGUGAAAUUCGUAGAUAUCGGGAGGAACACCAGUGGCGAAGGCGGCCACCUGGACGGUGACUGACGCUCAGACCCGAAAGCGUGGGGAGCAAACAGGGAUUAGAUACCCUGGUAGUCCACGCCGUAAACGUUGGGUGCUCGUCGUAGCGGGUAUUGACCCCUGCUGUGACCAAGCUAACGCAAGAAGCACCCCGCCUGGGGAGUACGGUCGCAAGACUA
This 372-nucleotide ribosomal RNA is filed under the name uncultured organism. RNAcentral's name for it is "partial 16S ribosomal RNA". It matches the Rfam family "Bacterial small subunit ribosomal RNA", at positions 527 to 896 of the family's 1533-position model. The record is from RNAcentral.